AUAUUUCGGACGAACGCUGGCGGCAGGCCUAACACAUGCAAGUCGAGCGGCAGCGGGUCCUUCGGGCAUGCCGGCGAGCGGCGGACGGGUGAGUAAUGCCUAGGAAUCUGCCUGGUAGUGGGGGAUAACUCGGGGAAACUCGAGCUAAUACCGCAUACGUCCUACGGGAGAAAGCGGGGGAUCUUCGGACCUCGCGCUACCAGAUGAGCCUAGGUCGGAUUAGCUAGUUGGUGAGGUAAAGGCUCACCAAGGCGACGAUCCGUAGCUGGUCUGAGAGGAUGAUCAGCCACACUGGAACUGAGACACGGUCCAGACUCCUACGGGAGGCAGCAGUGGGGAAUAUUGGACAAUGGGCGAAAGCCUGAUCCAGCCAUGCCGCGUGUGUGAAGAAGGUCUUCCGAUUGUAAAGCACUUUAAGUUGGGAGGAAGGGCAGUAAGUUAAUACCUUGCUGUUUUGACGUUACCGA
RNAcentral lists this ribosomal RNA (467 nucleotides) under uncultured bacterium. RNAcentral's name for it is "bacterial SSU rRNA". It matches the Rfam family "Bacterial small subunit ribosomal RNA", at positions 27 to 481 of the family's 1533-position model. The record is from RNAcentral.